This 428-nucleotide long non-coding RNA is filed under the name Elaeis guineensis (African oil palm). RNAcentral describes it as "long non-coding RNA (EGUI_LNC002240)". The record is from RNAcentral. Lineage: Eukaryota; Viridiplantae; Streptophyta; Magnoliopsida; Arecales; Arecaceae.
ACCGUGGUAUCAACCUACCAUCUGCUAAUGAAGUUUUUGAUGAGGCAUGGGGUCGAAGAAGUCCAACGAGAUCAAGGACUAGCACGACACUGCUACACGAUCCUCCUCUAGGAAGCAAGACUACCCAACGCUCUUCCUAUUAAAGGGCUAGACACCCAUGAGGAAUUGGCCAAAGAACAUGGAGAACCAGUAGAUAACCUCAUCAUAAUUCCCUAGGAGGGUAGAAAUGAUGAGCACAUAGUUCAGAUCAGAUCGGAUCGAAUCUAAAUGUGGUAAUGAAAAACCAGCUCACGUUUGUAGGAAAAUGCUGAUGUCUUUGCAUGGUUGCCUGCUAACAUGCUAGGCAUCGAACCUGAAAUCAUGAUGCAUCGACAAAAUGUGGAUCCAGCAUAUCGACCCAUCAAGUAAAAGAAAUGAAGCUCCACCCC